RNAcentral lists this ribosomal RNA (506 nucleotides) under uncultured bacterium. Its description in RNAcentral is "partial 16S ribosomal RNA". It matches the Rfam family "Bacterial small subunit ribosomal RNA", at positions 29 to 523 of the family's 1533-position model. The record is from RNAcentral.
AUUGAACGCUGGCGGCAGGCCUAACACAUGCAAGUCGGACGGUAGCACAGAGGAGCUUGCUCCUCGGGUGACGAGUGGCGGACGGGUGAGUAAUGUCUGGGGAUCUGCCCGAUAGAGGGGGAUAACCACUGGAAACGGUGGCUAAUACCGCAUAACGUCGCAAGACCAAAGAGGGGGACCUUCUGGCCUCUCACUAUCGGAUGAACCCAGAUGGGGGUAGCUAGUAGGCGGGGUAACGGCCCACCUAGGCGACGAUCCCUAGCUGGUCUGAGAGGAUGACCAGCCACACUGGAACUGAGACACGGUCCAGACUCCUACGGGAGGCAGCAGUGGGGAAUAUUGCACAAUGGGCGCAAGCCUGAUGCAGCCAUGCCGCGUGUAUGAAGAAGGCCUUCGGGUUGUAAAGUACUUUCAGCGGGGAGGAAGGCGAUGUGGUUAAUAACCGCGUCGAUUGACGUUACCCGCAGAAGAAGCACCGGCUAACUCCGUGCCAGCCGCCGCAGUAA